Molecule: ribosomal RNA, 428 nt
Filed under: uncultured bacterium
Lineage: Bacteria
Description: partial 16S ribosomal RNA
Rfam family: Bacterial small subunit ribosomal RNA
Source: RNAcentral
GUGGGGAAUAUUGGGCAAUGGGGGAAACCCUGACCCAGCAACGCCGCGUGAGGGAAGAAGGUUUUCGGAUUGUAAACCUCUGUCCUUGGUGACGAAGGAAGUGACGGUAACCAAGGAGGAAGCCCCGGCUAACUACGUGCCAGCAGCCGCGGUAAUACGUAGGGGGCAAGCGUUGUCCGGAAUGACUGGGCGUAAAGGGCGUGUAGGCGGCCGAUUAAGUCUGGAGUGAAAGUCCUGCUUUCAAGGUGGGAAUUGCUUUGGAGACUGGUUGGCUUGAGUGCGGAAGAGGUAAGUGGAAUUCCCAGUGUAGCGGUGAAAUGCGUAGAUAUCGGGAGGAACACCAGUGGCGAAGGCGGCUUCCUGGCACAAUACUGACGCUCAUGUGCGAAAGCUAGGGCAGCGAACGGGAUUAGAUACCCCUGUAGUCC